GAUGGCGGGGUGCGGGGCCGAGCCACCGCGGCCUCUCGGGGGAAAGGGGGGUGGUCGCUGGGGAGCCUCCCCCCCCCCCCCCAGUGCCUGCUGUUUUGGCGGGGGGGAGAGAAGCGCGGCCCCCCGCCCCCCCCCCCCGGGGAGGGGGGAAUAAACCGUGUCCUUACCAAAAAAAAAAAAAGGAAAAAAUAGAAAAAAAUAAAUUCUCCUCUUCCAGGCUGGUGAGAAUGUGUUCCCCCUGCUCUUGUCCCGCCUGUCCUGGAGCCCCUGCACCCAAAAAAGUCCCUCCAUCCCAAAAUCUUAGCACAGGAGCGCUCAGCUCAGGGAAGGUGUCCGGGGGUGCCAGGGCUGAAAUCAGCAGAAUCAGUUUUCAGCCCGUUUCAGGGUUAAUAACGUUUUCUCUAUCGCCAGGGUUACACAGGAAUUGAACUUUCUCCACAAUUUAUUUUAAUUAUAACUAAAUACGGCAUUAGGGAGCACCGAAGGAAUCUUAAGGGGAAGGAAGAGGAAGGGAAGAUGCUGAAGCUGGGUCAUUCCCAAGACUUUGGGUCUGCGAGGUCCACUGACUCAUCGGGAGAAAGGGCUGCAGCGCGGACGCCGUGCGCCGGCGGAGCUCCUGCGCACAGCCCUGAGUCGCAGGUCGGCUCUUGCUAAUUUGUCCGAUGGGGAGUAAGGCUGAAAAUAUUUCUAAAACCGUUUGCUUUUUUUUUUUUCCUGGAGGGAGAUAAGAGUAAAUAUGAAUCAUUCUUUUAAAAGUUUCAGAAGCGUUUUGUUCCAGGAAGGAAUAAGUGUAUUUUUUUUACAGUAAGAACCUCACAGGAAACUUCAGGAGGUUUUUAUAAGAGCUUGUAACCUCUUUGAAGCUGGAGACAUUUUUUGUACGCGUAUAGCACUUGCAUAACAAGGUCCUAACUGUGAACGGGAUUCCUAGGUGGAGUUGCAAUAAACUGAAUAGUAUCAUUCAUGGGAUCAUACCCCAUUCAUAUGUUGGCUGAGUAAAGAGGAGUACAUCGGCAGGAAUAUAGCGACUGCGACUUCAAACACGAGACUCUUGGGGGAAAAGUCGCUGCCGGCGCGUGCGCCGGUGGGCAGCGCAAUUGGUAAAGCUACAAAAAACGCUCAAGAAAAUAUUUUUUGGAGCAAAAAGCAGCAGAAACAAAGCCACGAGAGCUGCUGCUGGGCAGGUCUGGGGCAUGGAGAAAGGAAGGUGAGUAAUGUCAAAUCACGGAUGGAAAAUAAGGAGACGUGUCUGCCAAGGGGUGGGUUAGGGAUCGAUCCCUAUUUAUUCAGAAACAAGACUCACAGGUAGGGUUUGGGGUUUGUUUUUUUUUAAAUCUGGAGGCAGCGGGGACUGAUUUUUGUCACUGAAUGCUGUGGGACACACCGCUGAGAAGGCCACACGGGGUGCAACGGGGAGUGUAAAAUGUGGUCAGAGGAGAAGUGAAUGUCCUGGCCGUGAGCUGCAGCAGCUCGGGGUAUGUUCCGAGCCUCAAGAGAAGAGACAAGUAAUGCAUCAAUAUUUUCCUUAAGGCUGCUUAUUUCGUUUGAAAGCAAAUAACGGGUCAAUAUUUCUGCUUAUUUCAUUCGACGAAUAAGUUCUUAAACAGCUACUGAAUGGCUGAAGUGCGGAGAGGUAUGUGGGGUGAUAAAACGUGAUCCAGUGUUUCGCUGUACCAGCACCCCCAUGAUUAGCUAAAACAAGACAUUUAAUUCAUACCAAGAAAAUACGAGUCCUCGGGAGCGGGCGGCGUGGCUAACGUGGCCAUCGCUUGGGCUGCGUCCCUGCCCAGGCUGAAAUGCCCCCUGGCAAACGCCGCUCCUAUUUUUAUUCGCUGCUCUAUGAAAAGCCCCAUUUCACCGUACCUGAAUUUACGGGCAGAGACCUGGGAGCACAUUAAUCGCGCUGGGAGCACGUUAAUCGCGCGGCUGUCAUCAUUUUUGAGGAAGCGGGCCCAGGGCGCUUGCGAUGUUGCCCUAAAGCCCCCCAGUAAGGAGGGCGUAGCGUGGCCUUUUGCCUGGUAUUUGCCCAGGGAUAAAUGAUACGGUGAAUUUUCGUUUAUUCAACUCCAGGGUUACAGUCCCUCCUGCUUACAUUGUUUCACAGGGAGACGUUUACCCUUCUGAAAAGCUAAAAUGUUUUCUCCACUUGCAACAUAAAAGCCCAGGAGUGAGUAUUGUCACUGGAGAUAAUGUUACAGCCUGAGCAAGAUGACACUUAAAAACUUCGUCAGCCUCCAAGAAUUUCGGAAAUAGCGAUGAAGGAAGGUAGCAAGUGUUAAGAGCAGGCAGUACUUGCAAGAAGUGCCCUUAUGAGCGGCGUUUUCAAGAGCUUUUUUCUGUUUCCAGUUAUCAUUAGAGUCGCACAGCUCAGACCAUUUUUAAAUAAUUAUACUUAGUAAAAAAACCCUCCUGUGCUGAAAUAAAUUCUAGCUAAGAUGGUUUUAUGCUUUGCAGCCUCGUGUGACACUCAAUCUUUCUUGUGUGGCUGUUGUAACAAGUCGAAUUCAUGUAUUUUGAUACCCCGCACGUGAUAAAGAUACUUGGAUCACUUAAGCCUGUAUAAAACUGCAGUGCUCGCAUGUCAUUUAUCUUAAAAUCCUAUUGUAGCUCUCAUGAAAUGUAAUUUCUUCAGUGAAUGGAAAUUUAUACUGACAGAGGUGUUAUAAAACAUAGAAAAUACUGGGGGAAGGGGACCCAACGGUUCCUUUAUCUCUCCAUGCAUUCGCUAACGGGGAUUUAUUUUUCAGCUCGGCGUUGGUUCGUUGCAGGUUACAGAGCUCUGAUGCAAUUAAAGGGACCCGUUUCCAGUCAUCUUAAGCAAAACUUGCAUUACUUGCAACAGGUGAGAAAUGGGUGCUGAGGCACCGAGACAGCCAACCGGUUCGCAGGCUGCAGUUUCCAUUUCAGUUCCUAAAGGUGCUUGUAGGAAAUCGCUCAGCCUAAAGAAACCCCUGGGAUCCCAGCCUCUACCUUCCCAUUUCAAAAUGCACGGGAAGGCUCCGGAGGACAGUCGGCGCUGGAUGGUGGCUGUACCGUUAGCAUGUUACCCCUCCCCAAAAAGGAGAAUCCAGGCUCUAAUCCGUACCCCCAAACCAUGCCAGCUCGCUGGGAACCAAAGCAUGCCCACACUCGAGUUGGAGACUUCUGUGCUCGGGCAAGGAGGAUUAUGGACAUCAUAUGACUAAUUCUGCAAUGACAGGAUAUGCUUAAUUGGAGCGCGUGUUGCAGUGAGCUGCAGUCAGUGCAUCUUAAAUUCAGUGGUAGGAAGAUGUUUCUACCAGCUGAUGACACUUAACCAUUCAAACAGAUUACCAAGUGCCAUGGCAGCAAAAUCCCUUCUGUUUGAAAUGUUUAAGACUGUUUGGAUGCCUCUCUGGAAAAUGUGCUCCUAAAUUGGUGGUAGCAACUCCGGAAUGGCUUCCUGGUGACAAUCCUGAUGACUGUGACAGCCUCCAGUAAUGGGAAUUCGUUAAUCUCUUGCUCUGUGCCUGUAACGCUCUCUGUCCUUCUUCCAUUAAAAGCCAAAAGUAAAUAAAUGCAGGUCCCAUCAUCAGAUCAUUUUGCUUGCAUAGAGAUUAUCUAUGUGACAUGGACAAGCAGAAGGGCAAAAGAAAACCUCCCCAUCCUCAGUGUGAGGCUAGUUUGGGUGCAGCACCGUGAAUUCGGGGCUUGGGAGUCGCCAAGUCACCCUGAGCAUUCCGCUUCGCUUUGUGCAACAGCCGACGUUGCUGGCGCCGGCUGGGGGCGGCAGGCGGAGGGCAAGGUGUUAAACCUCCUCGUGCCGGGAGUGUGUUUGGUCCAGGUUAGGGCAGCCUUAAGUGCUGCGCUGUUCUGGGUGGCUGCCAGCAGAUCCCACGGAGUUUUGCAACACCUGAAAAAGAGCCUAAGCACAGGAAUACAACAACCCUUGAAUUUGCAGAGUGAGAACAGCGUGUUCAGUCACUGCCCUUAGACUGUUCCCUAACCCUAUCCAUUUAAGUUACCGUACUCUGUGAGGGAAGAUGGUAGGUUUUUACGCACGUUGCCUUCAGCUGCUGAAAACGCAGUGCAGGUGCCUUAAAGUGCAUAUGGUGGCUACAGCAGCCUAGAGUCCAGGCCUGUCAUCUUUCCACCUUCCUCAUCUUCCUCCCUCCCCAGGUGUUUGGUUGGCAAAAUGUCUUUCAAGUUCCAAAUUUUAUUUAAAAAGCUAGACUUGGGUUUUUUAGACUGGUUGCAAUUAAGCUUUAACAACAGGAAAGUUCAUGCGGAGGUGCCGUCUCUCUUUGAAGAGGCUCUGCCUAAGAAAAGCAUCUGUAUCCCUCCUGCAGCCAUCUGGACCAUGCUGGAGGGUUUAUUUCACUACUCUCACCUGUGGCUUUGUGUCUCUGGAUGCACUGAAGGCAUGUAUGGAGGGACCAAUUGAAUAUGUCCUGGAGUGUUUGGUGUAUUUUUAGAGUUUGUCCCAGAUUAUUGGCCUUUGUCCCAGAUUUCAGUGGUUAGGGUAUAAGAAUGCCUGGUGGGAUUGUGGUGCUUCCUGCAUUGCUCUCAGGAAGGCUUUAAUCAGGAAAAAUAUCCUCUCAAAGAAGGCAAAUAAUUAAGUUUUUGUGGCAAAUACUGUACUGCCAUUAGCCAGAGGUGAUAAACACUGGAGACCACAGUAUAAAUAGAGCAAGGCAGAUGCACUAAGCUUUAAAGUGCAAGAUUAUUGCGUUGUGUGGUAUUGAGUAAUGAAUUGGGCACCACUAGCAAGGUGGUUUUGCUUUUGUCUUUAUUGGGACCAGAGGUUGUUUUUACACCAUAAAGUGUUGGUCUCUGCUGCUCGUCGUGGGGGAAUGCUGGUACAAAUUGCCUGGAGGAAACUUGUUUCCAUGUGCUGGCAGCUGGCAAUGUACAAGUGGGGAGCUAAUGUUGGAAGGGAUCUUCAGGUGUCAUCCAGUCCAUCCUCCUCCCUUUGGCAGUGUUUAUUCGACCUGUGUCAUUCCUUGGAAAGGCUCAUCUGACCUCUUCCUGCAGAGCUGGGCAUUGCACGGUGCUCCAGGCUCCCAGGGCUUCACAAGCUUUGCCUGCAGAACAUUUUCCUUCCUGCAAAACCUGCCCUUCCCUGCUUCAGUUUGGUCCUUGCUGAGCUCAUGGGGGACGGAUUGCUCCUUUUCUCUGGGCUCCAGCCUUUACACAUUGGAAGAUUGUCUCUCUUCAGUCUACCAAAGCCAAAACAGGCCAAUCAUUUGUUCCUUCCUCAUAUUUCUGGCUGUGCAGCAUGACCCUCGCUCCAUCCCUUGGGCUGCUUAACCAUAUCUCAGGGCUGAAUUCCCUUAGAAUCACAGAAUCAUAGAACGGUUUGGGUUGGAAGGGACCUUUAGAGGCCAUCUAGUCCAACCCCCCUGCAGUGAGCAGGGACAUCCCCAACUAGACCAGGUUGCUCAGAGCCCCGUCCAGCCUGGCCUUGAACGUUUCCAGGGAUGGGGCAUCGACCACCUCUCUGGGCAACCUGGGCCAGGGUUUCACCACCCUCAUUGUAAAAAAUUUCUUCCUUUAUCUAGUCUGAAUCUACCCUCUUUUACUUUAAAACCAUUACCCCUUGUCCUGUCACUAUAGGCCCUUGGGUCGCACGACAUUCACCGUACACAUUUGAUGUAGUCCUAGACUCCCCAUGCCACCAUCUCUGGCAUGCGCUCCUCCGCUCUGGGGGACUUCUCUCGGUUCAGCCCUCCUAGUUACACUGCGGGUCUUUGGGAUGCUGAAGGGGCUCACUUACAGGCUCAUCCAACCAAUUUCAGGGUUUCAUGGACUUCCACCUUGGUCUUACCUCUUUACCCUCCUAUCAGUUGCUUGCUGCCCAGCUGCCCUAAUGCCCUUUCUCAAACUCUUUCCUUAGCUUCAUAGCAUAGGACAUACCACAUGGCAUAAAACAUACAAAGCAUGAAAACCAUUCUGUUAAGAAUCCAAUCACUGGUCCAUCAAUUUUGCAGAGAGGCAGGAGUGACACAUUGCCAAUACAGAUGCAGGUGAGGUCCUGCUGCACUUGGCCGUGUCUGUGAGAAGAACCUGCUUUCCUUCCCAGCACUCCCUGGCAUUCAAAUCUUGGACAUUUUGGCAUGUUAUGAGUGAUAAAAGUAUUCACAAGUGAGAGCAGCCAGCCCUGCAGGCUGUGAUGCCAGGGUAUUGUGGGUUCCUGGCAUGGGCAGUGCCUUUCGAUGGAUUUCAGAAGAAAGAGGCAGAAAUAUUUUUUACAGCCAGCCUCAAGUUUUUGUCUAUUUGUAGGUGUCUUUGUGUCCCCUAAAUUGGCAAUAGGUCCUUUGGAAAGAAGGCUGCACUUCAUGUCUUGACUGUCCUGGCUCCGUAUCCACUCAGAUUCUCUUGCUCCCAAAGGCCACAGAUCUUGUCCUUUAUUUUUGCCACCAAAUGCCACUCAUUUGUGUUGAGAAGCAGGAACUGGCGGCAGGGAAGUUAUCAAUCAUCCAGCAAGCAACUAAUCUGUUUCCCUUUUCUUGUGGCCAUUCCACGCUGUGGGAUAGUGCACAAACCUUUAAUUAUUGACCCACAAUAGUUUAAAUGGGUGCAGGUAGCUACUAGCACCAGGUUUGAAAAGAAUUCAGUAAUAAUGGAGGGAGAAGAAAGAUUUUAAAAAAAAAAAAAAAAAGGAUAGCAUGGGACAAGGAUGCAAAGGGUGAAGGGCAUAUGGCAGAGGUGCCAGUUGGGGGUAUUCCAGUGGCCUGGGUUCCAGCUCAAGCUUCUGCAGGAUCUCUGAUAGGCUUUGCUUUACUCAUCUCUUAAGUCCUGAUCGGAAUGGGAACAACCGGCUUCAUCCCCAGAAGUAAUUAAAAUGUUGCGCUCCCUGGCAGGGGAGUUAAAAUCAAUUUCUCAAAUACAAGAUGAAGAGCAAUUGGCCAGGCUGCUGCUGUGCGGAAAAAGAUCCGGGGCUGUGAUGCUUGGGAGCACAUCAGAAGUCCCACGCUGGAUUGCUGGUGAAACCAUUGGAAUUCAGCACUUCAGCGUUUUAGAAGACCUGCCACAAUAGCAAUCCCCUGUUUGCAAUCAAGGAGAUUGCAAGAGCAGCGCCAUGCAUAUUUAGCUGGUGUGCAGCUCCUGGGGUUGUAGGGGUACAGAAACAAGCUAAGAAAUAAAUGUGCCAUAGCUGUAGAAGUUGAUUAUUCUAGAGCAUUAAAAAUCCAGCCUUUCUUUGCCAAGGAAACGCUGCACAUGAGCCGAGCUUUUCCGUGUCAAACAUUGUAAAGAAAUCUCAGUUAUGUUUGGAGUUAGAGAGACACAAAGGAAAUCUCAUUAGGACCUACAAGCAAUGACCUGUUAUAAACAGAAUGGGAAUAAUUUGUGAGCUCUCAGAAAAACAGAGUGCAUCUCUUCUGCCCCUGUCCUCACUGUCUGCUGCUACUCUAGGACACAGGUUUCCUGAGAGAAGGAUCUGUGCCUUCUUGCUCAGCUAGCCCUUAUACAUCACGUUUUAUUUGCUAGGAGACUUGAACAAUGAGCAGCAAACACUCUUGUUCCUAUUUUAAAUGUGCGGAAACUGCAGUACAGAGAAAUAAAAUUACUUGCACCGGGCCACAGAGCAAUUUUGUGGCAGGGCUAGGACCAGAACCCAGCUCCCUUGCUCCCAAACCCAUGUGCCAGCCUUCAGCUCUUCAUUGACCCUUAAUUUUAAUCGCCUUCCAAGGAAGUCUGUUGGCCUCUUCCAGUUUACUUCCACGGGAGUAGUGCAGGUGUCAAAUGAAGUCACUGGGAAUAUCAAUGCAAAAGAAGCCAGUAUUAGAUGCAGAGAAAGAACUGAUGGAAGGGGAAAAAAUAGAUUUUAUAUAAAAAGGAAUAAGUUCUAGUGCCACUUCCAUAAUAUCAUUCCCCCUUUAAUUUGUGCCUGGUCAAAAUUAAAAAAAAAUAGAUUGCUAAUAUUAAUAAAUGAAAUGAAUCUUGAAUUUUAUAAUAGUGGAGGAAAUGAAAGGACCAAAGUAAUAUUGUGUUGUUAACUGAGAUUUUAAUAAUGAUUCUGUCCUCAGUUGGUGCAUUUAUUCCACAGAAAGUAAAUCAUUAAUGAAGAGGGGGGAAAACAGUUUUAUGGUGAUAGAUUUUUUGAAAGAGAAGUUUAAUUUUGCUUAACUUCUGGAAACUCUGAAAUGUGCUUGCAGCUCCAAAACUAAAAGACAAACACCUCAAAAGCAGUCCACAAGGCUGGGGUAUAGCUCAGUGGCUAACGCUGCCGGGGGCAGGAUGGAGCCGUGUCUGUAGCUCCUCUCUGAGAGAGCUGAGGUGAGGGGAAGAGAUAGCUUACAGAUGCUGGUUUUGUUGGGGGAAGGAAGGUAGGUUAGAGAUGGUUUUGAUGGAGGAAGGAAGGUUUGAAGGUUUCCCGUUGGUUCGAUGCAUUCUCAUAGUUAUUUCUGAAUGGCACCUGGAGAGCAGUAAAGAGAUCAUUCUUACCUUAAACCAAGGGAGGCCAAACUAGGCUCUUCCUAUGGCUUCCGCAGGCUUUUGCAAGAUCUGCUUCUACCAUGUCCUCUGGAUGGAUGGACUCAAACCACUCUCAGUGCUGGGGGGGUGUUUGACUUCUCAGGUGAAGAAAGAGCCCGCCGAGGCUAGUGUGUGCAGCUCUUGACCUACCCACUGGUAUCUUCAGCCACCUCCAAGGAGUCCCAAGAAAAGGGCUCCCUGGAGUAGCAGCCCAUUUCACACCAAGUCCCCUGGUUCAAAAUGUCGAGCACAGGGAGGAUCACGGUCUCGCAGCGCUGGAGAAGAAAAGCAUCUCUGUAGGUGAGAUCUGGCGCCUAAGAGAAAGCAAAUAUGGAAUAUAUGUGCCUGCGUGUGCAUGAAAGAGGGAAGAGACAGAAUUCCCCUGAUUCCUUAAUGAGCGCAGCACCCCUACAAUGAAUGUAGAAAUUUUCAAAUUAAAUUACUUUUUUGUAUUUAAAUUAUCAAAUCAAUAAAAAGAAGUAAACAUUAAACAACUUUA
Molecule: non-coding RNA, 8935 nt
Organism: Phalacrocorax carbo (great cormorant)
Lineage: Eukaryota; Metazoa; Chordata; Aves; Suliformes; Phalacrocoracidae
Source: RefSeq, a predicted model, not a curated record